UGUAUUGAAGUGUUGUUUUUGAAGGGUACAUACCUUGUAUAUGAAAUAAACAAAACAAAUACCAUUUUGUAUUUCUUUUUUAUGUCAGUCAAUGAGUUUUGACACAAAAAAAAAAAGGGUAUAGUAAUAUCACACUCAAUAGAAGAACAAUAAAACAUGUAUGAAAUAUUAAAACAACAAAUAUCAUUUAAAUUAAUGCAUCUAUAUUACAUUCACAAAAAUAAAAUAUGUUUAUAUUGUCUCAUCCUCAUGUAUUCCUACAAACAUUGUAGAUACUUCUCUAGCGUAAACAAAUCACAUGUAUAAAUGAGUUUCGAAGUAGGUGUGGUAGGAAGAGUAGGAUAAAUUUUGAAUGAAACAACUAGAAAAGACAUUAACUUUCAGGCAGAGAAAAGAGUAAAUGGCCUUUUCUUUAACCUUCUUACCCAGUUGUUUCAACCCCCAAUAGUUGCAUCACAUUACCCCGUCUUCGUAUAUAAUUGUUCACCCUGCCAUAACAUCCGUCCUUCUAGUCUAAUGUAGUCACCCAAUUAAUUUGCUCUCCAUGAAUAUUAUGGUAGCCCAUGCAUUCCAUGGGCAUGCAAGUUACUUGCAAACUUGUACCUCUCUGAGAGGAGUGCUUGGAUCUGCCUAAUAUCGUUUUUGCCGAAGAUAUCACGAUUCUCUCCCCACAUGAGAUGUUGAUGGUAAGGUUUUGAAUGUAUUGAGCAUCGGCAACAAACGUCUAUUGUCCUUUUUGAAGACUUACAUGAAUUUUUUUUUACUCUGUAUUUAUUUGUAAGAGCAGAAUUUAACCCUCUUGUUCAGAAACCAUAAUAGAAUUACUAAUACAUUUGCAUAAUUUUUAGAAGUAAUAACUAUAAGAAUUCGUAAUUGAAAAUAACAUCCUUUUGGAACGUCAUGAGUAUUAAGGAAAUAUAAAGAACAGAUAAAAUAUACAUAUAAUUGAAGGUGUAAUUGCUUGUAGGUUUGGAUCAUUUAUCCAAAAGACGUCAUUUGUGAAUGCCAUUUAUCUUCAAUGACUUGGUGCCAGACAACUUUUUUUAUUAGUGCCAAACAAAUUUGUUUUCCAAGCAACUUCAAUGACUUGGUUCCACGCUAUCAAGCAAUUCACAACUGUGAAGCACAAAAAAAAUUUGACAACUUUGAAAGUUUGAAUGCACCAAAAAGUAAGUCACAACUCUGAAGGAAAAUUUUUAAAGGUCACUACGAAAGCAAAACACUCUAUUCCUUAUGGGCUUUGAAAGGACCUUUGUGACUUUUAUUGUUUCACUUAGGAUACAUCAUCCUCUAAAAGAAGUUUGUUGCAGGUGUUGAGAAACAGCAAAUAGCCCUCUCCAAAACAUCUUCUGGAUUCGGUCAAUGGUUAGUCCAUCAACUGCCGAUGCUGUUAUUUUAUAGCGGACUCAAAACCUUAAAAAAAGAUGAUUUAUUUUGGCCAGUCAAAAAAGAUCAUAGUUGGAAAUUUUGAUACAAAUAUAGAGAAAAUAAAAAAGAUGGAUAUAAGAAUACCUAUCGAAUGAACGAUGAAAAGGAAAAUAAUACCAAACCUGCAUCAGUCUCCUAAUUCGCCAAAUUAUCAUGAAUUUAUCAAAAGAAUUUUUUCAGAGUCAUAGAAUGCGACUCAAAGGAAUCCCUUUUAGAUCUCCUGACAAAGGAAAAAGGAAUGACAAAUAAAGUUAUUAAAAUACUCGAAAGCAAGUGGCUAAAUUAAACUACAUAAUCACAUGAAAGGAUAUUUUACUUGUAGGAAGGGAUGAGAGUGAAAGCGAUAGAGAAAGUAAGGGAAGAGAGAGAGGCAUUUUUUUCCAGUCAACAGAGGCAACUAUGAUUAGGGAGAUAGAAGAGAAAGGGUCUGUCAUUAUUAACCGACUGUUGGGAGAAAGAAAUAAAUAAGCAACCGUUAGGUUUCUUAUACAAA
This 1921-nucleotide long non-coding RNA is filed under the name Nicotiana tabacum (common tobacco). RNAcentral's name for it is "long non-coding RNA (NTAB_LNC000084)". The record is from RNAcentral. Lineage: Eukaryota; Viridiplantae; Streptophyta; Magnoliopsida; Solanales; Solanaceae.